AGGCUUAACACAUGCAAGUCGAGGGGCAUCAGGAAGAAAGCUUGCUUUCUUUGCUGGCGACCGGCGCACGGGUGAGUAACACGUAUCCAACCUGCCCUUUACUCGGGGAUAGCCUUUCGAAAGAAAGAUUAAUACCCGAUGGCAUAAUGAUUCCGCAUGGUUUCAUUAUUAAAGGAUUCCGGUAAAGGAUGGGGAUGCGUUCCAUUAGGUUGUUGGUGAGGUAACGGCUCACCAAGCCUUCGAUGGAUAGGGGUUCUGAGAGGAAGGUCCCCCACAUUGGAACUGAGACACGGUCCAAACUCCUACGGGAGGCAGCAGUGAGGAAUAUUGGUCAAUGGGCGCUAGCCUGAACCAGCCAAGUAGCGUGAAGGAUGAAGGCUCUAUGGGUCGUAAACUUCUUUUAUAUAAGAAUAAAGUGCAGUAUGUAUACUGUUUUGUAUGUAUUAUAUGAAUAAGGAUCGGCUAACUCCGUGCCAGCAGCCGCGGUAAUACGGAGGAUCCGAGCGUUAUCCGGAUUUAUUGGGUUUAAAGGGAGCGUAGGUGGACUGGUAAGUCAGUUGUGAAAGUUUGCGGCUCAACCGUAAAAUUGCAGUUGAUACUGUCAGUCUUGAGUACAGUAGAGGUGGGCGGAAUUCGUGGUGUAGCGGUGAAAUGCUUAGAUAUCACGAAGAACUCCGAUUGCGAAGGCAGCUCACUGGACUGCAACUGACACUGAUGCUCGAAAGUGUGGGUAUCAAACAGGAUUAGAUACCCUGGUAGUCCACACAGUAAACGAUGAAUACUCGCUGUUUGCGAUAUACAGUAAGCGGCCAAGCGAAAGCAUUAAGUAUUCCACCUGGGGAGUACGCCGGCAACGGUGAAACUCAAAGGAAUUGACGGGGGCCCGCACAAGCGGAGGAACAUGUGGUUUAAUUCGAUGAUACGCGAGGAACCUUACCCGGGCUUAAAUUGCAGUGGAAUGAUGUGGAAACAUGUCAGUGAGCAAUCACCGCUGUGAAGGUGCUGCAUGGUUGUCGUCAGCUCGUGCCGUGAGGUGUCGGCUUAAGUGCCAUAACGAGCGCAACCCUUAUCUUUAGUUACUAACAGGUUAUGCUGAGGACUCUAGAGAGACUGCCGUCGUAAGAUGUGAGGAAGGUGGGGAUGACGUCAAAUCAGCACGGCCCUUACGUCCGGGGCUACACACGUGUUACAAUGGGGGGUACAGAAGGCAGCUAGCGGGUGACCGUAUGCUAAUCCCAAAAGCCUCUCUCAGUUCGGAUCGAAGUCUGCAACCCGACUUCGUGAAGCUGGAUUCGCUAGUAAUCGCGCAUCAGCCACGGCGCGGUGAAUACGUUCCCGGGCCUUGUACACACCGCCCGUCAAGCCAUGGGAGCCGGGGGUACCUGAAGUACGUAACCGCAAGGAUCGUCCUAGGGUAAAACUGGUGACUGGGGCUAAGUCAUAAC
Molecule: ribosomal RNA, 1445 nt
Filed under: uncultured organism
Description: SSU rRNA
Rfam family: Bacterial small subunit ribosomal RNA
Source: RNAcentral